Molecule: ribosomal RNA, 305 nt
Filed under: uncultured bacterium
Lineage: Bacteria
Description: partial 16S ribosomal RNA
Rfam family: Bacterial small subunit ribosomal RNA
Source: RNAcentral
ACAGCAGCAGCCGCGGUAAUACGUAGGUGGCAAGCGUUGUCCGGAAUUAUUGGGCGUAAAGGGCUCGCAGGCGGUUUCUUAAGUCUGAUGUGAAAGCCCCCGGCUCAACCGGGGAGGGUCAUUGGAAACUGGGAAACUUGAGUGCAGAAGAGGAGAGUGGAAUUCCACGUGUAGCGGUGAAAUGCGUAGAGAUGUGGAGGAACACCAGUGGCGAAGGCGACUCUCUGGUCUGUAACUGACGCUGAGGAGCGAAAGCGUGGGGAGCGAACAGGAUUAGAUACCCCGGUAGUCCCUGUCUCUUAUAU